Molecule: ribosomal RNA, 468 nt
Filed under: uncultured bacterium
Lineage: Bacteria
Description: partial 16S ribosomal RNA
Rfam family: Bacterial small subunit ribosomal RNA
Source: RNAcentral
GACGAACGCUGGCGGCGUGCUUAACACAUGCAAGUCGAACGGAAAGGCCCUGCUUUUGUGGGGUGCUCGAGUGGCGAACGGGUGAGUAACACGUGAGUAACCUGCCCUUGACUUUGGGAUAACUUCAGGAAACUGGGGCUAAUACAGGAUAGGAGCUCCUGCUGCAUGGUGGGGGUUGGAAAGUUUCGGCGGUUGGGGAUGGACUCGCGGCUUAUCAGCUUGUUGGUGGGGUAGUGGCUUACCAAGGCUUUGACGGGUAGCCGGCCUGAGAGGGUGACCGGCCACAUUGGGACUGAGAUGCGGCCCAGACUCCUACGGGAGGCAGCAGUGGGGAAUAUUGCACAAUGGGCGGAAGCCUGAUACAGCAACGCCGCGUGCGGGAUGACGGCCUUCGGGUUGUAAACCGCCUUCGCCUGUGACGAAGCGUGAGUGACGGUAAUGGGUAAAGAAGCACCGGCUAACUACGUG